CAGGAGACAACAAAAUGUUUAAUAUUAUUAUUUUGUCACCUUAGGUCGAUCGGUAUCUCACAUUCUUAAUUUAUUAAGAAUUUCAAUUCCUAAGUUUUUCUAGGUCACACCCAUUAUUUUUCCUGGGCCAUUAGCCCAGGUGGUUAGAGCGCACCCCUGAUAAGGGUGAGGUCCCUGGUUCAAGUCCAGGAUGGCCCAUAUCUCUAUGUUGGGGGUAUAGCUCAGUUGGUAGAGCGCCUGCUUUGCAAGCAGGAUGUCAGCGGUUCGAGUCCGCUUACCUCCACUGAUUACCACCUCUUCCAUAAUCUGGAGAAAGGAAAUGUUUUGAGUUGUGAUCAAAUACUGAACGAAUCUAGCUUCCUAAUGAAGUCAUUAAGAUGCUGGACUCAUUGAAUUAAUUUCAUUGUUUUCAGAGAACCUUGACAACUGCAUAGAUUAUUUUUUUUAAAGACAAUAAGCAUCUUUAAUGAUGCAGAUUUAUUAUUUGUGCGAACGCACUAAUAACAAUUCUAUUAAGCUGAUGCUUCAA
RNAcentral lists this transfer RNA (529 nucleotides) under uncultured Prochlorococcus sp. RNAcentral's name for it is "partial 16S-23S ribosomal RNA intergenic spacer". The stretch from base 211 to 283 matches the Rfam family "tRNA". The record is from RNAcentral. Lineage: Bacteria; Bacillati; Cyanobacteriota; Cyanophyceae; Synechococcales; Prochlorococcaceae.